This is a long non-coding RNA of Syngnathoides biaculeatus (alligator pipefish), 470 nucleotides long. RefSeq lists it as uncharacterized. The transcript is spliced from 3 exons. The record is from RefSeq and is a predicted model, not a curated record. Lineage: Eukaryota; Metazoa; Chordata; Actinopteri; Syngnathiformes; Syngnathidae.
CUCAGUUCAUUGUUCCUGUUCAACCAAGGAGUGUCAGUAAGGCCCUGAGGAAUCGACUCCGCUUAUCCACACGAGGGUCGCGGGAAAGCCGGAGUCUAUUCCAGCUGGCUUCGGGCGAAAAGGCGGACUACGCCCUGAACCGGUCGCCAGUCAGUCGCAGGGCGGAUUUCGACAGCAUCGCUGAGCGGGAAUCGAUCCCACGCUGCCCGCGCCGAAGGGUGUCCGGACUUUCCCUUAGAGAUAGGAUGAGAAGCCCGGUCAUCAGGGAGGGGCUCGGUGUCGGAGCCGCUACUCCUCCUCGCAUUGAGAGGAGCCAGAUGAGGUGGCUCGGGCGUCCGAUUCGGAUUCCUCCCGGACGCCUCCCUGGUGAGGUGUUCCGGGCACGUCCCACCGGAAAGAGACCCCGAGGACCACCCAGGACUCGCUGGAGAGACUGUGUCUCUCGGCCGGCUUGAGAACGCGAAGAUGCA